CCCUCAACUUUUUUUUUAAAACCAUAAUUUGGGUAUAAAGCCCAUUUAUAACUAAAAAAUAUUCUUUCAUAAGGAAAGGGCCAGGUCCAAAAAUGACCCGGCCCAAAGAAAAUUAAACAAAUUACAUUCAGACAAAAUUAAAAAUGGAAAGCCAAUUUAGGAAACUAUAAAAGCCGAUAAGCUUCUUGACCAACAAUUCCUUAGCUUCCAACUUUGUUAAUCUUCAAGUUCUUGACUAAGCUGAACUUUAGGCCAUAAAAUUAUGUGAAAUCAGCUAUCCGCUACUGAAAUCAACGUCAUUUGAUGAAGAUUUUUGUUCAUCCAUCCUCUACAUAAAUCAGAUAAGUGUCUCUCCUUUCAAUCUCAUAUAAACACUUUCAUUUCCCUCUUUCUCCUUCUGGGUGGAUUGAACCUAUAACCCUCCCUCAACUUUAAUCUAUUUUUAACAUUAAAUAUUUAUCUUAGCUUUAUUUUAUUUUUAAUAGAUUUUAUUUGAUAAAACUAAAAAUAACAAAAAUAGUUAUGUUUUUAGAUACACCACUUUUAAAAAAAUUAAGGAAAAGAGAAAAUUUUACAAAAAAAGGGUCAAACCCAAUAGGAUAUUGCCACACAUUAUGUUCUAUUCCAAUCUGUAUUCGUGGCAUAUUCCAUUGAAGAGGAGAAUAUUUCAUGCUUCCUACCUAAAUGUUAUUUAUCCUUAUCUAAAAUUAAAGGGCAUUUUAGAAAAAGACUAGCUAAAAAUAAACACCAAAGACUAUACCUAGUAGGCUCUAUAAAUAGAAACCGAUAAGAAACCAAUAGAAGGGAGGAUCCAAUAAUUAAGAAAUCAGCCACAAAAAGCGUGAAGAAGCAGCCGUGAGACCCCUUUUACUUCUUCCAAAAGCCUUAGAGCUAAGAAAGAAAGAAUAAUAGGAAAAAGCUCCAAAAAAACAACUCACACAAAGACACCACGAACCACCUGAAAAAAAUCAUAAAACUCAUCAUUUAAACUCUCUGAAUAUUAUAUGAUGAGUUUCAUGGUGUUUUUUAGGUGGUUUGUGACAUUUUUUGUAUGAGUUGAUUUUUGGAGUUUUUUCCUAUUAUUCUUCCUUUCUUAGCUCCAAGGCUUUUGAAAGAAGAAAAAGGGGUCUCACGGUUGCUUCUUUAUAAUUAUUGUGAUUGAUUCUUAAUGAUUAGAUCCCUCCCUUUCCUUGAUUUCUUAUAGGUUUCUAUUUAUAAACUCUACUAGGUCUAGAGUUUGGUAUUUAUUUUUAGCUAGUCCUUUCCUAAAUGCCUUGAAUUUUAGGACAAAAUUAAAAAAAUUUAGGGAGGAAGAAUGGAAUAUUCUCCCCUCCAAUGGAAUAUGCUAUGAACAGAGAUUGAGAGAGAAUGUAAUGUGUGGCAACAUCCUAUUGGGUUUAACCAUUUUUUGUAAAAUUUCUUUCUUCCUAGAAAAUAAAAAAACCAAAGUAAUGUAUUUAAAAACAUGACUAUUUUUGUGGUUUUAAAUUUUAUCAAAUAAAAUCUACUAAAAAUAAAAUAAAAACUAAAACAAGUAUUUAAUGUUAAAAAUAGGUUAAAACUUGGAGAGAAUUAAAAAUCAUAUAUGUACACAUAUUUGACACCGGAUACAUCUAUCUUUGAUACCAGAUAUAUGCACCUGACUGCAUUGUAUAAAAUUGAUAUUAGAUACAUCAAACUAAUGUUGGAUGCACUAGAAGAAAUUGAUAUUAGAUACUCUAGACGGAGUUGGUACUGGAUACACUAGAUGAAAUCAAUAAUAGAAACAAACACACCAGAUACAUUAAGAAAACACACUAACAAAAAACAUCAUGAAUCACAUAUACAGUAAAUGGAUUUUUGAUGAAUUGAAUAAUAAAGUGACUCUGAAAUUGAUAGAAUAGAAUUUAUUUUGUCUUGGUCUUUUUUUAGCUCAAAGACAUGUUAUUUCCUCAGAGUUAUUACACCCUUCAUUUUUGUCUAAUUUAAAGAGAUUUAAAUACAAAAAAUAUUUUAUUUUUACAAGAAAAUAAAAUCGGACGCACGUGUACCUCAAAUACAUGUAUCCAACGUGUGUGUCUUGAAUGAAUCUCAGACAAGUUUUGUAACUUUUAAAACUCCUAUUUCAACUAGCACUUAUGUAGUAUAAUAUUGUGUUUUAUGUAGUUUUCUCCCUUUUUACCAGAAUUCAAUGAGGAAAUUACACCUAAUGUAUCCUAAAUGUCUGUCUUUAAACUUUUGUCCUCACUUAAUAAAUAAUUUUAAAAUGACUUUUACUUUAAAAAAAUAGCUGGAAAGAAGUUGUGCUAUCCAUCACACACAAGUUCUAACUUUUGCCUAUAAGAUAGAAUUUGUGGUCAAUAGAACAUGUUCACUAUCUUGAAUAUUCUGAACUUUUGCUUUAUGGGCACUCGUUAGAACUUAUGCCUAAUAUGGACGACAUACCUAAGUUUUAAGUUUUGCCUAAAAGAGAAUACUUCUGGUCAAUUAAGCAGGUGUACAAUUUUAAAAUGUCAUGAACGUCUGUCAUAGAGGCUAAAGUUAGAAUUUAUGUCUGAUGGACAACAUAUCUAAGUUCUAACUUCUGUCUAUAAGGUAAAACUUCUGAUCAAUUAAGAAAGAAGAAACUUACAGAUAUUCAAAGAGAAUAAUCGUGGAGCAUUUUGAAGAAGGACGUCAAAAGCUUCAACGGUGAAGAGUAACUUUUGGGUUUUUUAUUUAGGAUAAAGAGACUGACCAACCAAAGACUGAAAACAUCUAAAUCUACAAAAAAUAUAGAAGCUAAGGAAAAUUCUCGACCAUAAAGGUCGAAGUUGAACCACAACUUUGUAUAUCUAUGGAAACCAUAUCAAGAUAAAAAUAGAAAAAAUAAUCUUAAAAGAGGAAGAAGACACUUAC
This 2877-nucleotide long non-coding RNA is filed under the name Capsicum annuum. RNAcentral describes it as "long non-coding RNA (CANN_LNC014516)". Lineage: Eukaryota; Viridiplantae; Streptophyta; Magnoliopsida; Solanales; Solanaceae. The record is from RNAcentral.